This 502-nucleotide ribosomal RNA is filed under the name Luciola cf. chinensis KIZ-F2. RNAcentral's name for it is "partial 16S ribosomal RNA". The stretch from base 383 to 502 matches the Rfam family "Archaeal large subunit ribosomal RNA", at positions 2542 to 2662 of the family's 2987-position model. Lineage: Eukaryota; Metazoa; Arthropoda; Insecta; Coleoptera; Lampyridae. The record is from RNAcentral.
GUCUUUUUGAUUAUAAUUUAAGGUUUAAUCUGCUCAAUGAUUUAUUAAAUUGCCGCAGUAUUUUGACUGUGCAAAGGUAGCAUAAUAAUUAGCUUUUUAAUUGGAAGCUGGAAUGAAUGAUUGGACGAGAUAAUUUCUGUCUCUUUAUUAUUUAUUAUUUAAUUUAACUUUUAAGUUAAAAGGCUUAAAUUUUUUUAAAAGACGAGAAGACCCUAUAGAGUUUUAUUUUUAUUUUUUUAAUUUAUUUUUGGGAUUUUAAGUAUUUUAUUAAAUGAUAAAUUUAGUUGGGGUGACUAAAAGAUUAAUUUAACUCUUUUAAUUAUAAUCAUUUAUUUAUGAAUAAUAAAAUUAUUUUUAUAAAUUUAAAAUAAAUUACCUUAGGGAUAACAGCGUUAUUUUUCUUUAUAGUUCUUAUAGAAAGGAAAGAUUGCGACCUCGAUGUUGGAUUAAAAUUUAUUUUGGGUGUAGAAGCUUGAAUAUUAAGUCUGUUCGACUUUUAAAA